RNAcentral lists this transfer RNA (77 nucleotides) under Achromobacter sp. RNAcentral describes it as "tRNA-Arg". It matches the Rfam family "tRNA". Rfam says of the family: Transfer RNA (tRNA) molecules are approximately 80 nucleotides in length. Their secondary structure includes four short double-helical elements and three loops (D, anti-codon, and T loops). Lineage: Bacteria; Pseudomonadati; Pseudomonadota; Betaproteobacteria; Burkholderiales; Alcaligenaceae. RNAcentral also lists the same sequence under 2 other names. The record is from RNAcentral.
GCGGCAGUAGCUCAGUUGGAUAGAGCACGGGCCUUCUAAGCCUGAGGUCGGGGGUUCGAUCCCCUCCUGCCGCGCCA